GAUGAACGCUGGCGGCGUGCCUAAUACGUGCAAGUCGAGCGAACAGACGAGGAGCUUGCUCCUCUGACGUUAGCGGCGGACGGGUGAGUAACACGUGGAUAACCUACCUAUAAGACUGGGAUAACUUCGGGAAACCGGAGCUAAUACCGGAUAAUAUAUUGAACCGCAUGGUUCAAUAGUGAGAGACGGUUUUGCUGUCACUUAUAGAUGGAUCCGCGCCGCAUUAGCUAGUUGGUAAGGUAACGGCUUACCAAGGCAACGAUGCGUAGCCGACCUGAGAGGGCGAUCGGCCACACUGGAACUGAGACACGGUCCAGACUCCUACGGGAGGCAGCAGUAGGGAAUCUUCCGCAAUGGGCGAAAGCCUGACGGAGCAACGCCGCGUGAGUGAUGAAGGUCUUCGGAUCGUAAAACUCUGUUAUUAGGGAAGAACAAAUGUGUAAGUAACUAUGCACGUCUUGACGGUACCUAAUCAGAAAGCCACGGCUAACUACGUG
Molecule: ribosomal RNA, 497 nt
Filed under: uncultured bacterium
Lineage: Bacteria
Description: partial 16S ribosomal RNA
Rfam family: Bacterial small subunit ribosomal RNA
Source: RNAcentral